RNAcentral lists this ribosomal RNA (305 nucleotides) under uncultured bacterium. RNAcentral describes it as "bacterial SSU rRNA". It matches the Rfam family "Bacterial small subunit ribosomal RNA", at positions 334 to 637 of the family's 1533-position model. The record is from RNAcentral.
UGGGCCUACGGGGGGCAGCAGUGAGGAAUAUUGGUCAAUGGGCGGGAGCCUGAACCAGCCAAGCCGCGUGAGGGAAGAAGGUACAGCGUAUCGUAAACCUCUUUUGUCAGGGAACAAAGGCGGGGACUAGUCCCCGGAUGAGGGUACCUGAAGAAAAAGCAUCGGCUAACUCCGUGCCAGCAGCCGCGGUAAUACGGAGGAUGCGAGCGUUAUCCGGAUUUAUUGGGUUUAAAGGGUGCGCAGGCGGCCUGCUAAGUCUGGAGUGAAAGGUACCGGCUCAACCGGUACAGGCUCUGGAAACUGGG